This 625-nucleotide ribosomal RNA is filed under the name uncultured Vibrio sp. RNAcentral's name for it is "bacterial SSU rRNA". It matches the Rfam family "Bacterial small subunit ribosomal RNA", at positions 97 to 719 of the family's 1533-position model. Lineage: Bacteria; Pseudomonadati; Pseudomonadota; Gammaproteobacteria; Vibrionales; Vibrionaceae. The record is from RNAcentral.
GGCGGACGGGUGAGUAAUGCCUAGGAAAUUGCCCUGAUGUGGGGGAUAACCAUUGGAAACGAUGGCUAAUACCGCAUGAUGCCUACGGGCCAAAGAGGGGGACCUUUGGGCCUCUCGCGUCAGGAUAUGCCUAGGUGGGAUUAGCUAGUUGGUGAGGUAAGGGCUCACCAAGGCGACGAUCCCUAGCUGGUCUGAGAGGAUGAUCAGCCACACUGGAACUGAGACACGGUCCAGACUCCUACGGGAGGCAGCAGUGGGGAAUAUUGCACAAUGGGCGCAAGCCUGAUGCAGCCAUGCCGCGUGUAUGAAGAAGGCCUUCGGGUUGUAAAGUACUUUCAGUCGUGAGGAAGGCGGCGUCGUUAAUAGCGGCGUUGUUUGGCGUUAGCGACAGAAGAAGCACCGGCUAACUCCGUGCCAGCAGCCGCGGUAAUACGGAGGGUGCGAGCGUUAAUCGGAAUUACUGGGCGUAAAGCGCAUGCAGGUGGUUUGUUAAGUCAGAUGUGAAAGCCCGGGGCUCAACCUCGGAAUAGCAUUUGAAACUGGCAGACUAGAGUACUGUAGAGGGGGUAGAAUUUCAGGUGUAGCGGUGAAAUGCGUAGAGAUCUGAAGGAAUACCGGUGGCGAA